AUUGAACGCUGGCGGCAGGCCUAACACAUGCAAGUCGAGCGAGCGGCGGACGGGUGAGUAAUGUAUGGGGACUGCCCGAUAGAGGGGGAUAACUACUGGAAACGGUGGCUAAUACCGCAUACUAUCCGAUAACCCAUAUGGGAUUAGCUAGUAGGUGAGGUAAAGGCUCACCUAGGCGACGAUCUCUCGCUGGUCUGAGGGGAUGAUCAGCCAUACUGGGACUGAGACACGGCCCAGACUCCUACGGAGGCAGCGUUGGGGAAUAUUGCACAAUGGGCGCAAGCCUGCUGCAGCCAUGCCGCGUGUAUGAAGAAGGCCUUAGGGUUGUAAAGUACUUUCAGCGGGGAGGCGUUACCCGCAGAAGAAGCACCGGCUAACUCCGUGCCAGCCGCCGCGGUAAUUC
This 403-nucleotide ribosomal RNA is filed under the name uncultured bacterium. RNAcentral describes it as "partial 16S ribosomal RNA". It matches the Rfam family "Bacterial small subunit ribosomal RNA", at positions 30 to 526 of the family's 1533-position model. The record is from RNAcentral.